Cnephaeus nilssonii (northern bat) is the source of this 74-nucleotide non-coding RNA. The record is from the annotation of a GenBank genome assembly. Lineage: Eukaryota; Metazoa; Chordata; Mammalia; Chiroptera; Vespertilionidae.
GGCAGGGUGGCAUAAUGGGAAGAGUAUGUGCUUUGGAUCAGAUGAUCAUAGGUUCAAGUCCUAUAUACUUGCUA